UCCCUGGUAGCUGAGAUGGUAAAGUGCCUGCCUACAAUGCAGGAGACCUGGGUUCAACCCCUGAGUCGGGAA
Molecule: non-coding RNA, 72 nt
Organism: Ovis aries (sheep)
Lineage: Eukaryota; Metazoa; Chordata; Mammalia; Artiodactyla; Bovidae
Source: Rfam